Molecule: ribosomal RNA, 407 nt
Filed under: uncultured bacterium
Lineage: Bacteria
Description: partial 16S ribosomal RNA
Rfam family: Bacterial small subunit ribosomal RNA
Source: RNAcentral
AUUGAACGCUAGCGGGAUGCCUUACACAUGCAAGUCGAACGGAGUGGCGAACGGGUGAGUAAUGUAUCGUAACGUGCCCAGUAGCGGGGGAUAACUACGCGAAAGCGUAGCUAAUACCGCAUACUAUUGGAGCGGCCGAUAUCGGAUUAGCUAGUUGGUGGGGUAACGGCUCACCAAGGCGACGAUCCGUAGCUGGUUUGAGAGGACGACCAGCCACAUUGGGACUGAACCCAGGCCCAGACUCCACCGGGAGGCAGCAGUGGGGAAUUUUGUACAAUGGGGGAAACCAGUAUCCAGCCAGCCCGCGUGUGCGAUGAAGGCCUUCAGGUUGUAAAGCACUUUUGGCAGGAAAGCGGUACCUGCAGAAUAAGCACCGGCUAACUACGUGCCAGCAGCCGCGGUAAUAC